CCUACGGGGUGCUGCAGUGGGGAAUAUUGGACAAUGGGCGAAAGCCUGAUCCAGCCAUGCCGCGUGUGUGAAGAAGGCCUUCGGGUUGUAAAGCACUUUCAGUGGGGAAGAAAGCCUUGGGGCUAAUACCCUCGAGGAAGGACAUCACCCACAGAAGAAGCACCGGCUAACUCCGUGCCAGCAGCCGCGGUAAUACGGAGGGUGCGAGCGUUAAUCGGAAUUACUGGGCGUAAAGCGCGCGUAGGCGGUCUGAUAAGCCGGUUGUGAAAGCCCCGGGCUCAACCUGGGAACGGCAUCCGGAACUGUCAGGCUAGAGUGCAGGAGAGGAAGGUAGAAUUCCCGGUGUAGCGGUGAAAUGCGUAGAGAUCGGGAGGAAUACCAGUGGCGAAGGCGGCCUUCUGGACUGACACUGACGCUGAGGUGCGAAAGCGUGGGUAGCCAACAGGAUUAGAUACCCCAGUAGUC
Molecule: ribosomal RNA, 465 nt
Filed under: Vreelandella stevensii
Lineage: Bacteria; Pseudomonadati; Pseudomonadota; Gammaproteobacteria; Oceanospirillales; Halomonadaceae
Description: partial 16S ribosomal RNA
Rfam family: Bacterial small subunit ribosomal RNA
Source: RNAcentral